GAAGGUGCGGUGCUGGGGGGGACCAGAUUCUACCAGCCAGCCCUUCCUGACAGCUGCUGCUGCAGUGGCCAGGAGCACCAGGUGCUUGUAAAUCACCGUAGCCCAGAGCCCCUUUCACUCCCCCACUGUAGGCAGCCCUGCCAGGAGCGUUCAACAGCAUUGCCGGACCCUGUGGCUGGGCCGCUGAUGCGGGGGCGAUGGGAUAAAGGGGGCAGCACCGUUAAAGCAUAAAGCACUGCCACAGCGGAAGUGUAAUGUCAGCCAUGUACGGGAAGGAACCAGUGGCCAGUUCUUACCGGUACACUGGACUGGCCCACUUUCACCUCUGGUACUUAUGUGUAUUCUAAAUAUCUGUGUCAGUAGUUUGCAGAAACGUAUUUGCAGCACAAAGACUUCAGUGCGGUAGAAACAACACAAGAGGCUAAUACUGCAUUUAGAAGACAUAUAGCAAUUCUUCUAAUGAAGGAGUCAGAAAGCGUGGAGGACUACUGCAUAUACUGCAACUGUAUCAACUGUGAAAAAGAAAAUGAGGAUUGCACGAUGGUCCAGUGUGAUUCUUGCAAGAGGUGGGCACAUAUACCCUGCAUUGCAGAAGGAACCAAUCAAGAAAACCUGACAGAUGAGAAGAAAGAGUACAACUGCAAGAAAUGUGCAUAGUUCACUUCAUUACCCCCCAAAAAAACCCCAUAG
Mauremys mutica (yellowpond turtle) is the source of this 690-nucleotide long non-coding RNA. RefSeq lists it as uncharacterized. The record is from RefSeq and is a predicted model, not a curated record. Lineage: Eukaryota; Metazoa; Chordata; Testudines; Geoemydidae. The transcript is spliced from 3 exons.